UAGAUCAAAGAUGACAACUGGUGGCAUCUGAGUCUUGGUUGAUGAAUACUGCAGGUCUGGGAUGCUGAGCUCCAA
Molecule: small nucleolar RNA, 75 nt
Organism: Diceros bicornis minor
Lineage: Eukaryota; Metazoa; Chordata; Mammalia; Perissodactyla; Rhinocerotidae
Product: small nucleolar RNA SNORD113/SNORD114 family
Exons: 1
Source: RefSeq, a predicted model, not a curated record